Molecule: ribosomal RNA, 196 nt
Filed under: uncultured Lactobacillus sp.
Lineage: Bacteria; Bacillati; Bacillota; Bacilli; Lactobacillales; Lactobacillaceae
Description: 16S ribosomal RNA
Source: RNAcentral
AUUAUUACCGCGGCUGCUGGCACGGAGUUAGCCGAUCCUUAUUCGUAAGGUACAUGCAAAAAGUCACGCGUGACUCACUUUAUUCCCUUACAAAAGAAGUUUACAACCCGUAGGGCCGUCUUCCUUCACGCGACGUGGCUGGUUCAGACUUGCGUCCAUUGACCAAUAUUCCUCACUGCUGCCUCCCGUAGGCAAU